Molecule: ribosomal RNA, 463 nt
Filed under: uncultured bacterium
Lineage: Bacteria
Description: bacterial SSU rRNA
Rfam family: Bacterial small subunit ribosomal RNA
Source: RNAcentral
AACCUGUGUGGAUGACGGUACGGAAGAAGAAGCACCGGCUAACUACGUGCCAGCAGCCGCGGUAAUACGUAGGGUGCGAGCGUUAAUCGGAAUUACUGGGCGUAAAGCGUGCGCAGGCGGUUUUGUAAGACAGAUGUGAAAUCCCCGGGCUUAACCUGGGAACCGCAUUUGUGACUGCAAGGGCUAGAGUACGGCAGAGGGGGGUAGAAUUCCACGUGUAGCAGUGAAAUGCGUAGAUAUGUGGAGGAAUACCGAUGGCGAAGGCAGCCCCCUGGGUCGAUACUGACGCUCAUGCACGAAAGCGUGGGGAGCAAACAGGAUUAGAUACCCUGGUAGUCCACGCCCUAAACGAUGUCAACUAGGUGUUGGGGGGGAGACUUCCUUAGUACCGCAGCUAACGCGUGAAGUUGACCGCCUGGGGAGGUACGGUCGCAAGAUUAAAAACUCAAAGGAAUUGACGGGG